ACUGGUUGCCUGUUUGAGCAGUGCUGUGGGAAAAAAUUGGGGAGACUGCAACAUCUGCAACCAAGAUUACAGGUUUCCCUGACGUUAGCAUGUAGCAGUGCAU
Etheostoma spectabile (orangethroat darter) is the source of this 103-nucleotide long non-coding RNA. RefSeq lists it as uncharacterized. The transcript is spliced from 3 exons. The record is from RefSeq and is a predicted model, not a curated record. Lineage: Eukaryota; Metazoa; Chordata; Actinopteri; Perciformes; Percidae.